CCUACGGGAGGCAGCAGUGAGGAAUAUUGGUCAAUGGGCUUACGCCUGAACCAGCCAAGUCGCGUGAGGGACGACUGCCCUAUGGGUUGUAAACCUCUUUUGUCAGGGAGCAAUUUGCGCUACGUGUAGCGUUAUCGGGAGUACCUGAAGAAAAAGCAUCGGCUAACUCCGUGCCAGCAGCCGCGGUAAUACGGAGGAUGCGAUCGUUAUCCGGAUUUAUUGGGUUUAAAGGUUGCGUAGGCGGAAUGCCAAGUCAGCGGUAAAAUCGCGGGGCUCAACCUCGCUCAGCCGUUGAAACUGGCGGUCUUGAGUGGGCGAGAAGUAUGCGGAAUGCGUGGUGUAGCGGUGAAAUGCAUAGAUAUCACGCAGAACUCCGAUUGCGAAGGCAGCAUACCGGCGCCCAACUGACGCUGAAGCACGAAAGCGUGGGUAUCGAACAGGAUUAGAUACCCCAGUAGUC
Molecule: ribosomal RNA, 460 nt
Filed under: uncultured bacterium
Lineage: Bacteria
Description: partial 16S ribosomal RNA
Rfam family: Bacterial small subunit ribosomal RNA
Source: RNAcentral